Molecule: ribosomal RNA, 254 nt
Filed under: uncultured bacterium
Lineage: Bacteria
Description: partial 16S ribosomal RNA
Rfam family: Bacterial small subunit ribosomal RNA
Source: RNAcentral
UACAGAGGUCUCAAGCGUUGUUCGGAUUCAUUGGGCGUAAAGGGUGCGUAGGCGGCGCGGUAAGUCGGGUGUGAAAUCUCGGAGCUUAACUCCGAAACUGCAUUCGAUACUGCCGUGCUUGAGGACUGGAGAGGAGACUGGAAUUUACGGUGUAGCGGUGAAAUGCGUAGAUAUCGUAAGGAAGACCAGUGGCGAAAGGCGGGUCUCUGGACAGUUCCUGACGCUGAGGCACGAAGGUCAGGGGAGCAAACGGG